Molecule: ribosomal RNA, 354 nt
Filed under: uncultured bacterium
Lineage: Bacteria
Description: partial 16S ribosomal RNA
Rfam family: Bacterial small subunit ribosomal RNA
Source: RNAcentral
CCUACGGGUGGCAGCAGUGAGGAAUAUUGGUCAAUGGCCGUAAGGCUGAACCAGCCAAGCCGCGUGAAGGAAGAAGGAUCUAUGGUUUGUAAACUUCUUUUAUAGGGGGAUAAAGGUAUCCACGUGUGGAUAUUUGCAUGUACCCUAUGAAUAAGCAUCGGCUAACUCCGUGCCAGCAGCCGCGGUAAUACGGAGGAUGCGAGCGUUAUCCGGAUUUAUUGGGUUUAAAGGGUGCGUAGGUUGAUUGAUAAGUCAGCGGUGAAAGUUUGUGGCUUAACCCGGGAAUUGCCGUUGAUACUGGUGAGCGAGAGAGUAGAUGCGGUAGGCCGAAUGUAUGGGGCAGCUGGGAAAUGA